Molecule: ribosomal RNA, 872 nt
Filed under: Coltricia cf. stuckertiana Robledo 218
Lineage: Eukaryota; Fungi; Basidiomycota; Agaricomycetes; Hymenochaetales; Hymenochaetaceae
Description: eukaryotic LSU rRNA
Rfam family: Eukaryotic large subunit ribosomal RNA
Source: RNAcentral
UAACGAGGAUUCCCUUAGUAACUGCGAGUGAAGCGGGAAGAGCUCAAAUUUGUAAUCUGGCGGUCUUUGGCCGUCCGAGUUGUAAUCUGUAGAGGCGUCGUCCGCAUUGGCCCGUGUACAAGUCUCCUGGGAUGGAGCGUCGUAGAGGGUGAGAAUCCCGUCCAUGACACGGACCACCGAUGCUCUGUGAGGUGCCCUCGAAGAGUCGCGUUGUUUGGGAAUGCAGCGCAAAAUGGGUGGUAAAUUCCAUCUAAGGCUAAAUAUUGGCGAGAGACCGAUAGCGAACAAGUACCGUGAGGGAAAGAUGAAAAGCACUUUGAAAAGAGAGUUAAACAGUACGUGAAAUUGUUGAAAGGGAAACGCUUGAGGCCAGUCGCGUCCUGAGGCACUCAGCCUUGCUUCGGCUUGGUGUACUUGCCUCAGAACGGGUCAACGUCGAUUUUGGCCGGUGGACAAAGGUGAGGGGAAUGUAGUGUUGUUUCGGCGACAUGUUAUAGCCUCUCGUCGAAUACAUCGGCUGGGAUUGAGGACCGCAGCACGCCCUUGUGGCUGGGGGUUUGCCCCACAUAACGUGCUUAGGAUGUUGGCAUAAUGGCUUUAAGCGACCCGUCUUGAAACACGGACCAAGGAGUCUAACAUGCUUGCGAGUGUUAGGGUGGAAAACCCUUGCGCGUAAUGAAAGUGAAAGUUGAGAGCCUCCGUAAGGGGGGUGCAUCGACGCCCGGCCCUAAGGUUCUCCGAAGGUGCUGCGGUAGAGCAAGUAUGUUGGGACCCGAAAGAUGGUGAACUAUGCCUGAAUAGGGCGAAGCCAGAGGAAACUCUGGUGGAGGCUCGUAGCGAUUCUGACGUGCAAAUCGAUCGUCAAAUUUGGG